GAUGAAGAACGUAGUGAAAUGCGAUACUUGGUGUGAAUUGCAGAAUCCCGUGAACCAUCGAGUCUUUGAACGCAAGUUGCGCCCGAAGCCAUUAGGCCGAGGGCACGCCUGCCUGGGCGUCACACGUCGUUGCCCCCCCCAUCUACUCCUUCGGGAUUGCGGGGGGCGGAUGAUGGCCUCCCGUGCGCCUCGCCGCGCGGUUGGCAUAAAUGCCAAGUCCUCGGCGACGCACGCCACGACAAUCGGUGGUUGCGAAACCUCGGUUGCCCGUCGUGUGCGGUCGUCGCGCAUCGAGGGCUCGAAAAAAUUGCCGAGUUCCGGCUCGGCUUUCAACGCGACCCCAGGUCAGGCGGGGUUACCCGCUGAAUUUAAGCAUAUCAAUAAGCGGAGGA
RNAcentral lists this unclassified non-coding RNA (392 nucleotides) under soil metagenome. Its description in RNAcentral is "partial contains 5.8S ribosomal RNA, internal transcribed spacer 2, and large subunit ribosomal RNA". The stretch from base 1 to 122 matches the Rfam family "5.8S ribosomal RNA", at positions 35 to 154 of the family's 154-position model. The record is from RNAcentral.